UGGGGAAUAUUGGACAAUGGGCGAAAGCCCGAUCCAGCCAUGCCGCGUGUGUGAAGAAGGUCUUCGGAUUGUAAAGCACUUUAAGUUGGGAGGAAGGGCAGUAAGUUAAUACCUUGCUGUUUGACGUUACCGGCAGAAUAAGCACCGGCUAACUCUGUACCAG
This 163-nucleotide ribosomal RNA is filed under the name uncultured bacterium. RNAcentral's name for it is "partial 16S rRNA". It matches the Rfam family "Bacterial small subunit ribosomal RNA", at positions 355 to 511 of the family's 1533-position model. The record is from RNAcentral.